This 301-nucleotide ribosomal RNA is filed under the name uncultured bacterium. Its description in RNAcentral is "partial 16S ribosomal RNA". It matches the Rfam family "Bacterial small subunit ribosomal RNA", at positions 509 to 807 of the family's 1533-position model. The record is from RNAcentral.
CAGUCGCCGCGGUAAUACGUAGGUGGCAAGCGUUGUCCGGAAUUAUUGGGCGUAAAGGGCUCGCAGGCGGUUUCUUAAGUCUGAUGUGAAAGCCCCCGGCUCAACCGGGGAGGGUCAUUGGGAACUGGGAAACUUGAAUGCAGAAGAGGAGAGUGGAAUUCCACGUGUAGCGGUGAAAUGCGUAGAGAUGUGGAGGAACACCAGUGGCGAAGGCGACUCUCUGGUCUGUAACUGACGCUGAGGAGCGAAAGCGUGGGGAGCGAACAGGAUUAGAUACCCCUGUAGUCCCUGUCUCUUAUAC